RNAcentral lists this ribosomal RNA (478 nucleotides) under uncultured bacterium. Its description in RNAcentral is "partial 16S ribosomal RNA". It matches the Rfam family "Bacterial small subunit ribosomal RNA", at positions 28 to 523 of the family's 1533-position model. The record is from RNAcentral.
GACGAACGCUGGCGGCGUGCUUAACACAAGCAAGUCGAACGGCCAGGCCCUUCGGCAUACACGAGUGGCCAACGGGUGAGACACACGUGGGCGAUCUGCCCUGCACCUCGGGAUACGCCUGGGAAACUGGGUCUAAUACCGGAUAGGCCCACCGCCUGCAUUGGUGUUGGCGGAAAGCUAUUGCGGUGUGGGCUGGGCCCGCGGCGUAUCAGCUUGUGGGUGGGGUGAGGGCCUCCCAAGGCGACGACGGGUAGCCGGCCUGAGAGGGUGACCGGCCCCGCUGAGCCGGGGAUACGGCCCAAACUCCAACGGGAAGCAGCAGUGGGGAAUAUUGCACAGUGGGCGCAAGCCUGAUGCAGCGACGCCGCGUGAGGGAUGACGGCCUUCGGGUUGUAAACCUCUGUCAGCACCGACGAAGCGCAAGUGCCCGUAGGUGCAGAAGAAGGACCGGCCAACUACGUGCCAGCCGCCGCCGUAA